GAUGAAGAACGCAGCGAAAUGCGAUACGUAAUGUGAAUUGCAGAAUUCAGUGAAUCAUCGAGUCUUUGAACGCACAUUGCGCCCCCUGGUAUUCCGGGGGGCAUGCCUGUCCGAGCGUCAUUGCUGCCCUCAAGCACGGCUUGUGUGUUGGGCCUCCGUCCUCCUCCCGGGGGACGGGCCCGAAAGGCAGCGGCGGCACCGCGUCCGGUCCUCGAGCGUAUGGGGCUUCGUCACCCGCUCUUGUAGGCCCGGUCGGCGCUUGCCGACACAUCAAUCUUUUUUCCAGGUUGACCUCGGAUCAGGUAGGGAUACCCGCUGAACUUAAGCAAAUCAAUAAGCGGAGGA
RNAcentral lists this unclassified non-coding RNA (345 nucleotides) under soil metagenome. Its description in RNAcentral is "partial contains 5.8S ribosomal RNA, internal transcribed spacer 2, and large subunit ribosomal RNA". The stretch from base 1 to 120 matches the Rfam family "5.8S ribosomal RNA", at positions 35 to 154 of the family's 154-position model. The record is from RNAcentral.